CCUACGGGAGGCUGCAGUGAGGAAUAUUGGUCAAUGGGCGGAAGCCUGAACCAGCCAAGUAGCGUGCAGGAUGACGGCCCUACGGGUUGUAAACUGCUUUUAUACGGGAAUAACGCGCCUUACGUGUAGGGCUUUGCAUGUACCGUAUGAAUAAGGACCGGCUAAUUCCGUGCCAGCAGCCGCGGUAAUACGGAAGGUCCGGGCGUUAUCCGGAUUUAUUGGGUUUAAAGGGAGCGUAGGCCGCAUGUCAAGCGUGCUGUGAAAUGUCCGGGCUCAACCCGGGCCUUGCAGCGCGAACUGGCGAGCUUGAGUCCGCGGAAAGCAGGCGGAAUUCGUCGUGUAGCGGUGAAAUGCUUAGAUAUGACGAAGAACCCCGAUUGCGAAGACAGCUUGCUGCAGCGGAACUGACGCUGAUGCUCGAAAGCGCGGGUAUCGAACAGGAUUAGAUACCCCGGUAGUC
This 460-nucleotide ribosomal RNA is filed under the name uncultured bacterium. RNAcentral describes it as "partial 16S ribosomal RNA". It matches the Rfam family "Bacterial small subunit ribosomal RNA", at positions 338 to 795 of the family's 1533-position model. The record is from RNAcentral.